This is a non-coding RNA of Oncorhynchus mykiss (rainbow trout), 1965 nucleotides long. Lineage: Eukaryota; Metazoa; Chordata; Actinopteri; Salmoniformes; Salmonidae. The record is from RefSeq and is a predicted model, not a curated record.
UCCACAUCAGGGGUGGAGAUGGAGAGUGACCGCAUUGCAGCCGUGCGAAAUUGGCCGACUCCCACCACGGUAAAGGAGGUGCAGCGAUUUUUAGGGUUUGCCAAUUACUACUGGAGAUUUAUCUGGGCUUUUGGCCAGCGCUCGGGCUAGCCACCAAAGCUCAACCCCUGUGCUUUCUUCUCAAAGAAGCUCAGCCCGGCGGAGCGGAACUAUGAUGUGGGGGACCUGGAGCUGUUGGCUUUUGAAGGCAUGGAGACAUUGGCUUGAGGGGGCUAAACACCCUUCUGUCCCAUCUGGACCCUUCAGUCCCAUCUGGACUGACCACCGCAGCAACCUGAAGUACAUCCGGACAGCGAGGAGACUGAAUCCUCGUCAGGCAAGGUCAUCCGGGGAUCGGUGGGUGCGCUGUCUGACUGGGAAGUACAGGUGUCCCACCUUGGCCAAGUGACGUGAGGGUUUAUGUUUCCUCCUGCUCGGUGUGUGCGCCCAGUGUAAGGUUCCUAGACACCUGCCCAGAGGGUAACACCACGAUCCUGGUCAUUGUGGAUCAUUGUGGGACGGUUUCAGCGGUCCUAUUGCCAGGACCAGCCGGGGGAGUGGGCGGCGUUCGUACCCUGGGCAGAGAUGGCUCUGCCACUCCUCCACUAACCUUUCCCCCUUUCAGUGUGUAUUGGGGUACCAGCCGGUUCUGGUACCGUGGCAUCAGAGUCAGACUGAGGCUCCUGCUUGUUGCUUGUUUCAGACGCACGGAAGAAACAUGGGAGGUCGCCCAUGGUCACCUUCAGUGGGGCUCGCUACGUCAAAAGACCAAGCACGGACCGUCACCGCAGUGUAGCCCCGGUGUUCGCCUGCCCUGAGGAGAGUGAACGAGUUAUGUUACAGGUUACAGCUUCACACUGAUUACCAUAUUAACCCCUCGUUCCAUGUGUCUCUCCUCAGGCCGGUGGUGGUCGGUCCGCUCCAGGAGUCUGAGAUAAGGGAGGUACCUCUGGCGUACUUCGUCCGAUCCAUCUUGGAUUCGAGGCGUCGGGAAGGGGGUCUUCAGUAUCUUGUAGAGUGGGAGGGGCACGGUCCGGAGGAGAGAUGCUCGGCUCAUCCCCGAGGCCGGUGUCGGCACGCCGCUGGAGACUCACGUCAAGGGGGGGUACUGUCAUGGCUUCUGCCGAAGUCGGCACCUCUCCUUGUUCGGGCAGCGUUCGGCGGUCAACGUCACCGGCUUUCUAGCCAUCGCCACUCCAUUCUUCAAUUUUCCAUUGGUUUUGUCUUGUUCCAAUUCACACCUGGUUUGCAUUCCCUAAUCACAUUACAUUACAUUACAUGUCUUUGUGUGUAAUUAUUUUGUGUGUUACGUGUUGUACGCACUAAGCUAAGCAUUUGUUAUUUUCUGUGUGUUUUCACAAAGCUUAUUUGUAAUUGCUAUACAUUUAUGUUGUGUGACAUUUGUGCGUGCUUUACACUUUACCUUGUUGGCUGGAGGAGGUUUUUGAAGCGGCUGCGUCCAUCUGUAUAUCUCUCCUGCAUUAAUAAAGUUUGCUCCUGUUCACAAUUCUCUGUUCUCCUGCACCUGACUUCACCACAGUACGCACAUGCUUGACAGCUGUGUGAUUAAUUUCUGGGUCCAUACGUGAUCCAAAUUGGGUGUUCCGGUAUGUGAUAUCUCCACCCUCGCAAAUGGAAACUGUCAGCCAAAGCUAAUUUUAGCACAUGCGUGAAGCAGUCAAAGCACUGCCUUCGUACAAUCCUGGUACUUCCAAAUAAUCAGUGAGUGACGAAAAUUUUAACACCGGAACUACUACUCCUUGUUAUUUCCAUCCCGUCACGACAGAUUCUUCAGAUUAUGUGCAGAAUCUGUCAAUGAGAGAUUAAGAGCAGUCUAUAGACUGCUUACAAGAUAAGGAAACAAAUAUCUGAAUACAUUAUUUUCCAAUCCAAUUUACCUAUGGGAGAAAAUUUGCUGGUUUAGAA